GAUGAACGCUGGCGGCGUGCCUAAUACAUGCAAGUCGAGCGAACGGACGAGAAGCUUGCUUCUCUGAUGUUAGCGGCGGACGGGUGCGUAACACGUGGACAACCUACCUAUCAGACUGGGAUAACUUCGGGAAACCGUAGCUAAUACCGGAUAAUAUUUUGAACCGCAUGGUUCAAAAGUGAAAGACGGUCUUGCGGUCACUUAUAGAUGGAUCCGCGCUGCAUUAGCUAGUUGGUAAGGUAACGGCUUACCAAGGCAACGAUGCAUAGCCGACCUGACAGGGACAUCGGCCACACGGGAAGUGAGACACGGUACAGACCCCUACGGGAGGCAGCAGUAGGGAAUCUUCCGGAAUGGGCGAGUGCCUGAUGGUGCAACACCGCGUGAAUGAUGAAGGUCUUAUGAUCGGAAAACUAUGAAAUUAGUGAAGAUCAUAAGUGUAAGUACCUGUGCUCAUCUUGACGGUACCGAAUGAGUAAGCCACGGCUAACUACGUG
This 497-nucleotide ribosomal RNA is filed under the name uncultured bacterium. RNAcentral describes it as "partial 16S ribosomal RNA". It matches the Rfam family "Bacterial small subunit ribosomal RNA", at positions 28 to 507 of the family's 1533-position model. The record is from RNAcentral.